CUGGCUGCGUGCUUACCAUGCAAGUCGAACGAUGAAGCCAGCUUGCUGGUGGAUUAGUGGCGAACGGGUGAGUAACACGUGGGUGAUCUGCCCCAAACUUUGGGAUAAGCCUGGGAAACUGGGUCUAAUACCGAAUAUGACCGAUACUCGCAUGGGUGUUGGUGGAAAGCUCCGGCGGUUUGGGAUGGGCCCGCGGCCUAUCAGCUUGUUGGUGGGGUAAUGGCCUACCAAGGCGACGACGGGUAGCCGGCCUGAGAGGGCGACCGGCCACACUGGGACUGAGACACGGCCCAGACUCCUACGGGAGGCAGCAGUGGGGAAUAUUGCACAAUGGGCGCAAGCCUGAUGCAGCGACGCCGCGUGAGGGAUGACGGCCUUCGGGUUGUAAACCUCUUUCACCAGGGACGAAGCGAAAGUGACGGUACCUGGAGAAGAAGCACCGGCCAACUACGUGCCAGCAGCCGCGGUAAUACGUAGGGUGCGAGCGUUGUCCGGAAUUACUGGGCGUAAAGAGCUCGUAGGCGGUUUGUCGCGUCGUUCGUGAAAACUUGGGGCUUAACUCCAAGCGUGCGGGCGAUACGGGCAGACUUGAGUACUACAGGGGAGACUGGAAUUCCUGGUGUAGCGGUGAAAUGCGCAGAUAUCAGGAGGAACACCGGUGGCGAAGGCGGGUCUCUGGGUAGUAACUGACGCUGAGGAGCGAAAGCGUGGGUAGCGAACAGGAUUAGAUACCCUGGUAGUCCACGCCGUAAACGGUGGGUACUAGGUGUGGGUUCCUUUUCACGGGAUCCGUGCCGUAGCUAACGCAUUAAGUACCCCGCCUGGGGAGUACGGCCGCAAGGCUAAAACUCAAAGGAAUUGACGGGGCCCGCACAAGCGGCGGAGCAUGUGGAUUAAUUCGAUGCAACGCGAAGAACCUUACCUGGGUUUGACAUACACCAGAAAGCCAUAGAGAUAUGGCCCCCUUGUGGUUGGUGUACAGUGGUGCAUGGCUGUCGUCAGCU
RNAcentral lists this ribosomal RNA (1004 nucleotides) under Williamsia sp. YIM 75754. RNAcentral describes it as "bacterial SSU rRNA". It matches the Rfam family "Bacterial small subunit ribosomal RNA", at positions 36 to 1060 of the family's 1533-position model. Lineage: Bacteria; Bacillati; Actinomycetota; Actinomycetes; Mycobacteriales; Nocardiaceae. The record is from RNAcentral.